AUGAACAUGUGGAGGUGUGUUCAACACAUGCUGUGCGAGAAAGAUAAUGGCAUUUACCGCGGGUGGAUGGAUAGAUUCAGAGGGCUGUUCGACCCCAAAUUUGUUGAUGAAGUCUGCAGGGAUGAUGGAGAAACUGACUGGGGUUACAUUGAGGAUAUGAUGAAUUCAGAUAAGGCUGGGUACAGGAUUGACUGGCUGAAAAAGUUCUGGUUCCCAGUCGAUUUUAUGGACUGUUGGUCGAUGUACUUGCUGGAUAAGGAUGAAAAAACGGUGAUGGUCCUGGACCCAACGGAUACAGAUGAAAUGGAUGAGAUGAAAAUAAAACAUGAAGGCCGUGCAAAAAAAUUCCAGAGGAGGUUCUGUUCUCUUUUCAACAAUUUCUACGGCAACGGCUUGAUUGAAACUGAAGGAUGGACAUUCAAGUAUCCACUAGUGGCACGGCAUGCUCCGUGCANCAGGGAGGAAAGUGGAAUCUACAUCGCACACUACUACACUGAGUUCACCGGGAUGUACCUCCGUUCAUCACUGACCCAGUUGCAGAUAGAACGUCUACGGUCGAAGCUAGCAUACGAGAUUGUGACAAUGAAAAGGAACAAAGGGGACAUCCCAGAGUUCGUGUACGAUGUGAUCAUAGAUUGA
Molecule: ribosomal RNA, 639 nt
Filed under: Triticum aestivum (bread wheat)
Lineage: Eukaryota; Viridiplantae; Streptophyta; Magnoliopsida; Poales; Poaceae
Description: partial small subunit ribosomal RNA
Source: RNAcentral